RNAcentral lists this ribosomal RNA (253 nucleotides) under uncultured bacterium. RNAcentral's name for it is "partial 16S ribosomal RNA". It matches the Rfam family "Bacterial small subunit ribosomal RNA", at positions 524 to 776 of the family's 1533-position model. The record is from RNAcentral.
GACGUAGGGCGCGAGCGUUGUCCGGAUUUAUUGGGCGUAAAGAGCUCGUAGGCGGCUUGUCGCGUCGACUGUGAAAGCCCCCGGCUCAACUGGGGAGGGUCAUUCGAUACUGUUCGACUCGAAGGCAGGAGAGGGAAGUGGAAUUCCGGGUGUAGUGGUGAAAUGCGUAGAUAUCCGGAGGAACACCAGUGGCGAAGGCGACUUUCUGGCCUGUUCUUGACGCUGAGGCGCGAAAGCUAGGGGAGCAAACGGG